This 428-nucleotide ribosomal RNA is filed under the name uncultured bacterium. RNAcentral describes it as "bacterial SSU rRNA". It matches the Rfam family "Bacterial small subunit ribosomal RNA", at positions 354 to 796 of the family's 1533-position model. The record is from RNAcentral.
GUGGGGAAUAUUGGGCAAUGGGGGAAACCCUGACCCAGCAACGCCGCGUGAAGGAAGAAGGCUUUCGGGUUGUAAACUUCUUUGACCAGGGACGAAAAAAAUGACGGUACCUGGAAAACAAGCCACGGCUAACUACGUGCCAGCAGCCGCGGUAAUACGUAGGUGGCAAGCGUUGUCCGGAUUUACUGGGUGUAAAGGGCGUGUAGGCGGGAUCGCAAGUCAGAUGUGAAUUGCGGAGGCUUAACCUCCGGGCUGCAUUUGAAACUGCGGUUCUUGAGUGAUGGAGAGGCAGGCGGAAUUCCUAGUGUAGCGGUGAAAUGCGUAGAUAUUAGGAGGAACACCAGUGGCGAAGGCGGCCUGCUGGACAUUAACUGACGCUGAGGCGCGAAAGCGUGGGGAGCAAACAGGAUUAGAUACCCCUGUAGUCC